Molecule: small RNA, 833 nt
Filed under: Manduca sexta (tobacco hornworm)
Lineage: Eukaryota; Metazoa; Arthropoda; Insecta; Lepidoptera; Sphingidae
Description: uncharacterized LOC115444406
Source: RNAcentral
CGAACGAAGGCGCCGCCCAACUUGCGGCUCGCCCGCCUUGCGCGCGCGCAUCUCAAAUGGGAACAGUCACGCUGAACGGCAAGAGGGUGGACCAACCCUUAAUAAUUGCGGUAUAUGAAAAGGUUAUAGUGCAGUGUUAAGUGAUAAAAGUGCAAUAAAAUGCCUCGAAAACGCAUGAACAGAUCGCCGCCGGUUGAGAAAAGGUCCGAUGAUGCCGACGAUGACGAUUUUUUCUUCGAUGACACGCAAUCUAGUUCAGGGCGGAGUUCUCACGAACCGCAGCACAGAAAUGCUGCUAACGCAAGAGAGCGGGCGAGGAUGCGCGUUCUCUCCAAAGCAUUUUGCAGGUUAAAGACAACAUUGCCGUGGGUGCCGGCGGACACGAAGCUGUCGAAGUUAGACACGCUGCGACUAGCGGCUUCGUACAUAGCGCACCUGCGGGCUUUGCUGCACGAGCCACGCUCUGCGCACACGCCGCCGCAUCCACUAAGCUUGGCCUGGCCAUUCGCCUUCCAACAUGGCGGCACAUUGAGCUGUACUAUUUCACAGAGAUGGAACGUAAGCCCUCCUAGCAAUGACGGCCAGAAUUGUCGCUUACCGCCCAGAGAAAACACGCAAAACUGCCAUGAAGGAUAUGGCCACGAAUACGAAAAUGACUAUGACGAGAGAUGUUAUGAUGAGAUGACGAACGAACCCUGCCAGCCGAUGCAAUAUUGUAAUUAUGGUUACAGAGAAAUUAUUAUGAAUCGAGAAAUUCUUACCAAUCGGAAAAUUUGAUUAAUAACGCUUAAUAUAUACCAAAGAUAUAUAAAAUAAAAAUAAAUCUACUUUUA